Harpia harpyja (harpy eagle) is the source of this 425-nucleotide long non-coding RNA. RefSeq lists it as uncharacterized. Lineage: Eukaryota; Metazoa; Chordata; Aves; Accipitriformes; Accipitridae. The record is from RefSeq and is a predicted model, not a curated record. The transcript is spliced from 3 exons.
GGUGAGGUACCGCGUCGCCGGCGGCCGGGCCGAGCGGAGCGGAGCGUUUCUUCCCCGUUUGAGUCGAUUGCCCGCUUUGCUGCACAAUAAAAGCUUCGUCAGCAGCGGCGGCGCGGGGCGGUUGAAAGAGGCGGUCCGGGUCAAAGCCGGCUCUGGCGUAAAGCACACGGUUCGUUUGAAGGCAGUAGUGUUUUGCAGCGCGGCUGAACUCGGCCGCUAUUUACAGGCCUAGAAAGCUGUAGAGGAACAUAGACUCCCAGUUUGGAAUAAUCUUCAAAAAUCCUUGCCUAAACAGUAAAGUGGGCUAAGGCAAAAUGUUUCCAGACUUCCUUUUCUCAGGUGGUUUGGUGUUUGGGGGUUUUUUUUGGUUACUUUCUGGAACUUAUUGCUAGCUUCGAACAUGUGUGAAUAAAUAACCAGCAGAC